CCGCAUGGACAGUUGUAAGGCCCGAGGGCGCCUUGAUGAGUGCGUCCCUAGGUAGUGUGAGGUAGGCCCACCGCCUUCGAGGUAGCUGCUGAGAGGGAUCAGCCACUGGAACAGACACGGCAGACUCCCGGGAGGCCAGUGAGGUAUUGCGCUGGCCGAAGCUGACGCCGACGCCGUGAAGGAUAGUCCGUUGAUGUAAAUCUUUUGCGGGAUGAAUGGUGCCUGGGUGCCAGACCGUACUGCGAAUAGAUCGGCUCUACGUGCGCAGCCGCUAAUACGUGAUCCGAGUUGUCCGGUUACUGGGUAAAGGGCGUAGGUGGCUUUAAGUGUGGUGAACCUGCAGCAACUGCAGCUGCCCUCUACUGAAAUCGAGUAC
This 376-nucleotide ribosomal RNA is filed under the name uncultured bacterium. Its description in RNAcentral is "partial 16S ribosomal RNA". The record is from RNAcentral.